UACGAAGGGUGCAAGCGUUAAUCGGAUUUACUGGGCGUAAAGCGUACGCAGACGGUGAGAAAGGUCGGAUGUGAAAGCCCCGGGCUCAACCCGGGAACUGCAUCCGAAACCAUCUCGCUAGAGUAUGAGAGAGGGAAGCGGAAUUCCUGGUGUAGAGGUGAAAUUCGUAGAUAUCAGGAGGAACACCGGCGGCGAAGGCGGCUUCCUGGCUCAUUACUGACGUUCAGGUACGAAAGCGUGGGUAGCAAACAGG
This 253-nucleotide ribosomal RNA is filed under the name uncultured bacterium. Its description in RNAcentral is "partial 16S ribosomal RNA". It matches the Rfam family "Bacterial small subunit ribosomal RNA", at positions 524 to 776 of the family's 1533-position model. The record is from RNAcentral.